AUGAGUCGUCAUGAUGGCAUCAACAUCCCCAAUGGCAAGUUCUACCUAGGAGAUGCUGGUUAUGCAUGUUGGCCAGGUAUUUUUCCAUCCUUCAGGAAAACCAGGUACCAUAUGAACAAGUUCGCUGGUCGGAAAUAUCCUAGGACUCCACAUGAGCUGUUCAAUCUCAGACACUCCAUCCUUAGAGUUACUGUUGAGAGGGCACCUGGAGCUCCGAAGAAUAGGUUUAAGAUCCUAAAUCAGAAGCCAUUCCACAAUUUUCCCAUUCAGGUUAAACUUGUUGUUGCUUGUUGCAUUCUGCAUAACUGAAUCCUGCAAUGGGGUUGUGAUGGACUAGUGCCUGCAGAGGAAGAUGUGACGCCUGACGAUGUUGUCAGCUCCGGUCAUGGUGUGGAGGCAUUUGACAACAACGGAUGGAAGAACAAAAUGAUUGAAUGGGCACACGCAAUGUGGGAUAACAGAGGUCAGACAAGGAUCUGA
RNAcentral lists this ribosomal RNA (480 nucleotides) under Triticum aestivum (bread wheat). RNAcentral describes it as "partial small subunit ribosomal RNA". The record is from RNAcentral. Lineage: Eukaryota; Viridiplantae; Streptophyta; Magnoliopsida; Poales; Poaceae.